UACGUAGGUGGCAAGCGUUGUCCGGAUUUAUUGGGUUUAAAGGGUGCGUAGGCGGUUUUUUAAGUCAGCGGUGAAAUACUUCAGCUCAACUGGAGAGGUGCCAUUGAUACAGGAAAACUUGAGUACUGAUGAGGUAGGCGGAAUGGACGGUGUAGCGGUGAAAUGCUUAGAUAUCGUCCAGAACACCGAUAGCGAAGGCAGCUUACUAAGGAGUAACUGACGCUGAGGCACGAAAGUGUGGGGAUCAAACAGG
RNAcentral lists this ribosomal RNA (253 nucleotides) under uncultured bacterium. RNAcentral describes it as "partial 16S ribosomal RNA". It matches the Rfam family "Bacterial small subunit ribosomal RNA", at positions 524 to 776 of the family's 1533-position model. The record is from RNAcentral.